AACGAACGCUGGCGGCAGGCUUAACACAUGCAAGUCGAACGGGUGUAGCAAUACAUCAGUGGCAGACGGGUGAGUAACACGUGGGAACCUUCCUAGGGGUACGGAACAACUCAGGGAAACUUGAGCUAAUACCGUAUACGUCCGUAAGGAGAAAGAUUCAUCGCCCCUAGACGGGCCCGCGUCGGAUUAGGUAGUUGGUGGGGUAACGGCCUACCAAGCCUACGAUCCGUAGCUGAUCUGAGAGGANGAUCAGCCACACUGGACUGAGACACGGCCCAGACUCCUACGGGAGGCAGCAGUGGGAAUCUUGGACAAUGGGCGCAAGCCUGAUCCAGCCAUGCCGCGUGAGUGAAGAAGGCCUUAGGGUUGUAAAGCUCUUUUACCAGGGACGAUAAUGACGGUA
This 403-nucleotide ribosomal RNA is filed under the name uncultured bacterium. RNAcentral describes it as "bacterial SSU rRNA". It matches the Rfam family "Bacterial small subunit ribosomal RNA", at positions 29 to 477 of the family's 1533-position model. The record is from RNAcentral.